GUUGGGUGUGGUGGCACACACCUGUAAUCCCAGUUACUUGGGAGGCUGAGGCAGGAGAAUCGCUUGAACCCAGGAGGAAGAGGUUGCAGUGAGCCGAGAUCGUGCCACUGCACUCCAGCCUGGGCGACAGAGUGAGACCCUGCCUCAA
This 148-nucleotide non-coding RNA is filed under the name Nomascus leucogenys (northern white-cheeked gibbon). Lineage: Eukaryota; Metazoa; Chordata; Mammalia; Primates; Hylobatidae. The record is from Rfam by way of RNAcentral.